GCGGCAGGCUUAACACAUGCAAGUCGAGCGGGGAAUGGUAGCUUGCUACCUGACCUAGCGGCGGACGGGUGAGUAAUGCUUAGGAAUCUGCCUAUUAGNGGGGACAACAUUCCGAAAGGAAUGCUAAUACCGCAUACGCCCUACGGGGGAAAGCAGGGGAUCUUCGGACCUUGCGCUAAUAGAUGAGCCUAAGUCAGAUUAGCUAGUUGGUGGGGUAAAGGCCUACCAAGGCGACGAUCUGUAGCGGGUCUGAGAGGAUGAUCCGCCACACUGGGACUGAGACACGGCCCAGACUCCUACGGGAGGCAGCAGUGGGGAAUAUUGCACAAUGAGGAAACUCUGAUGCAGCAACGCCGCGUGGAGGAUGACACAUUUCGGUGCGUAAACUCCUUUUAUAUGAGAAGAUAAUGACGGUAUCAUAUGAAUAAGCACCGGCUAACUCCGUGCCAGCAGCCGCGGUAAUACGGGGGGUGCAAGCGUUACUCGGAAUCACUGGGCGUAAAGAGCAUGUAGGCUG
This 517-nucleotide ribosomal RNA is filed under the name uncultured bacterium. RNAcentral's name for it is "bacterial SSU rRNA". It matches the Rfam family "Bacterial small subunit ribosomal RNA", at positions 39 to 578 of the family's 1533-position model. The record is from RNAcentral.